RNAcentral lists this small nuclear RNA (316 nucleotides) under Chinchilla lanigera (long-tailed chinchilla). RNAcentral's name for it is "7SK RNA (ENSCLAG00000021970.1)". The stretch from base 1 to 280 matches the Rfam family "7SK RNA". Rfam says of the family: 7SK was discovered as an abundant small nuclear RNA in the mid-70s but a possible function has only recently been suggested. The record is from RNAcentral. Lineage: Eukaryota; Metazoa; Chordata; Mammalia; Rodentia; Chinchillidae.
GGAUGUGAGGGUGAUCUGGCUUCACCAUCUGUCACCCACUGGUCACAAGGGUUGAUUCUGCAGACCUGGCUGUCUAGGCGGAUGUCUCCUUCCUCCCUCACAGCUCCAUGUGCGUCCCUCCCAAAGCUGCAUGCUCAGUCAAAGAGGAUGACCACCCCAAUAGAGGAAGACCUUUUUCCCAGUCAUGGGUAUACGAGUAGCUGCGCUUCCCUGCUAGAACCUCCAACAAGCUUUCAAAGACACCUCAAAUAGUGUACAUAUCUCAGGUGCUAAAAUCAGUAGAAAAAGGCUUAAUGAGAAAUAGGAAAUUACAUAA